RNAcentral lists this transfer RNA (75 nucleotides) under bacterium. Its description in RNAcentral is "tRNA-Glu". It matches the Rfam family "tRNA". Rfam says of the family: Transfer RNA (tRNA) molecules are approximately 80 nucleotides in length. Their secondary structure includes four short double-helical elements and three loops (D, anti-codon, and T loops). The record is from RNAcentral. RNAcentral also lists the same sequence under 3 other names.
GCCGGGUUCGUCUAUCGGUUAGGACGCGAGAUUCUCAUUCUCGAAAGACGGGUUCGAUUCCCGUACCUGGUACCA